Molecule: long non-coding RNA, 1872 nt
Organism: Oncorhynchus nerka (sockeye salmon)
Lineage: Eukaryota; Metazoa; Chordata; Actinopteri; Salmoniformes; Salmonidae
Exons: 3
Source: RefSeq, a predicted model, not a curated record
AAUAAAAGCGUGGUGGCAGGGUGGAUGAGUGUAGCUGCGCUUCAGACUGUCCGCCGCCGUUGCUGCUUCUGCUGCUGCUGCUCAUAGAGGAUCAUACAUUUGGGGAAAAAACGAUAGACAGGACCAGUCUCUCCAACUUGCUACCCGAGUCUUUGACAUUCUCCCACGUAAAAAGGUCUGUGGGGCAGAUGGAAAGAGUGGAAGAAGGGGUGGAAUAUUGAGAAGGACCAGAAUACCUGAAGAGUAUAUCAUUCUAAAGAAACCAACCAGGUUUUGCCACUACUCUCAGCAUUUUAUGGGGGUCCUCUCACUGCCUGAAUCAUCCAGAAGAAUAAUGGACAAAAUAAGAUCUGAGCCAAUGGAGUCUCCUGAAGGAUACUGUUCUCUAAUACUGGAAUGAAGUGACAAGAGAUGGCAGCUGGACCAUACACACAACCCUAGGAUCCUGGAUCUGGAGAGAACCUUUUGAUCUGAGGACCCGAGUAUCAGAAUGAUCCACUUUUCUUUGAAAUCCAUUACUAAUGAGUUCGAAAAUAGAGAACAAAGAUAUUGAGAAAGAUAACCAAGCAUUUUAGUGAGAAUCAGUUCCAAUAGUUUGGAGAUGGGUAUCUCUUGGGUAUCUCACUAUGGGUUUCUGUAAGAUUUGAACCUUGUCAUACCAGGUAAAACCCACAUUGUCCUUGACAAUUAUACAAAUGCCAUUUCAAUGGUUUUCGGUCCCAUGAUCUUCUCAAAGGACCCCUAUCCAUUAAAUGAUUUCCCAAAUUAAUGUAUUAUUCAUGUAUUGGAAUCAAGUAAAUUACCACGUAUGGAUUGAAAGUGUCAAUUUUAAUUCUCAGGGAGUUAAAAAAAAAAUCAAUGUCAGGCCCACUCCCUUCACCACAAUACUUGUGGUAAAGAUUGAAAGAUUGAAGCUGCCUUAGAACAUAUGGGAACGUUUGUCUUGGAAAUCUUGAAUGCAGUUUUCACUUGCACAGUAACAAAACAGAUCUCUGUUACCCGAAUGAAUUUGAUACCAGUGUAGACGGACAGGUGAGAUAAGUCAGGGAAAAACCCGAUGGAGAAGAUUACAUGGGAAAGAUAAGGCCGGUUCAAAAUGAUUUGCCAAGUUUCUUCUGCACAGAGAAAAAGCCUUCUGUAGCCUGUCCAAAGUCAUGAUGUGCCAUGGCAUGCCCUGCGUCCUGAGUUGGAACUAUUUAAGACAAUAGAACUAUUUAAGACAAUAGAAUACUUAAGAAUCUUGUGGAUUAAUCAAGUGUCCUAGAACAGAGAUUUUGGUUGGCCUCUGGCUUUCAUUUCUUCAACAUUGCCGGUUUGAGGACUCUUUUCACCUCUUUGGAAAUCCACGUCACAUGUAGAGCCAAGCAGGAUUUUCCAAAAUGGCUCCCGCUUGGAGACUAGGAGCAUGUAGCCUGUUGGCGGCCCUUUGGCUUUUGCAUUGCUGUAGUUGUGGAUGGUCGGAGAGGACUAGUGGCAUGGCCAAGGGAGAAACUAAGGAGCAGGAGCUCAUGUCCCAUGAACGAGUGAAGAGGGGAUGGGUGUGGAACCAGUUCUUUGUGGUGGAGGAGUACACAGGCACAGAACCUCUCUACGUUGGAAAGGUAAGACUUUGAGAGUUUUUUGUGUGUUUAGGGGAAGAACACUAACAUUACAGUUUAAGUUUUUUGCUCUAGACGUGAUUCAUGUCUUACGUGUGAGUUGAUUGUGAUUUGAUUUGUAUGACAAGUUAGUAUUGGAAAGGAUAAGACGUGCUGUGCUAUCAAAUCAGAUGGAAUUUUUAUGCCAACUGCAAAAGAAAUAGGGAUGGUUCUUGUAUACAUUUUACUGCAUACUCAUGUCUGUCUGAAUUCAGUCAUUUGCAAUUGAAUUUCA